RNAcentral lists this transfer RNA (73 nucleotides) under Patescibacteria group bacterium. RNAcentral's name for it is "tRNA-Arg". It matches the Rfam family "tRNA". From Rfam's summary of the family: Transfer RNA (tRNA) molecules are approximately 80 nucleotides in length. Their secondary structure includes four short double-helical elements and three loops (D, anti-codon, and T loops). The record is from RNAcentral.
GCCCCUGUAGUUUAAUGGAUAAAACGCCUCCCUCCGGAGGAGGAAAGUACAGGUUCGACUCCUGUCAGGGGCA